Molecule: long non-coding RNA, 884 nt
Filed under: Prunus dulcis (almond)
Lineage: Eukaryota; Viridiplantae; Streptophyta; Magnoliopsida; Rosales; Rosaceae
Description: sRNA ncRNA
Source: RNAcentral
AGAAGGAGAGAGUGGUGAUGAAACUCUUGGAGCUUGGUUUGGGUGAUAGUACAUGAAGAUAGGUAGAUGGGUUGUCUUGCCAAUUUAUUUUAAGGGCUUUCAUUAUCGAGGUGAAUGGUUUAUGUAAUGUGUUCUAAAAGUUCUUAUUUUGUGAUAAAAUAUGAAAACCAUGAAUUAUCGUGGAUUUGUUCUAUUUACAAUUAUCUCUCUAUUUCAAGUCAAGCAUGUCUAAUUUGGAGCAAUCUUUCACACUAUAUAUAUUGGAAUAUUUGUGAAAUAUGUAUUAUUCAUAGAACAUGAGAACUUAAAUGUUGGGGUAUCAGAGGGAUAGAUGUACCACACGGGGACAUAGGGUAGUAAGGCCAAUAGAGGUCACGUGGUUAGUUACAUGCUAUGAAGGAUAACCGAGAUAUGAAGGGAUGAUGUGAUAUGAUCUGGAUUGGUGUAUCUUUUCAUGAUAUUUUCUAAAGUGUGUAAAACAGCAUUGCUUGACUAGCAUAUUACAUAAUCUACUCACUGAGCAGUGGUUGCUCAUCAUUCACCCUAUUUAAUUUUUCAGAUGUAUUAGUGGGCAAGACAAGGACUAAAUCGGUUGAGGCUGAAUUAGAUGAGAGUGAUAGAGCUUUAUUUAUUUUUAUUGUAAAGUUGUAAGAUUUUGGAUAUAUUUUUAUAAGAGAAGUUUAUUUUAAACCCUGUUUUGGCUUUCUUUUUAUUUUCUCACGCACCGGGUGCGGGGUUUCUACCGAUCCCAGGUCCGGGGUGUGACAGCUUCUCCCCAAAAUCGCUUAAAAUCACUUAAAGUAAUUAUAUGGAGAAGCACAUGAGAGAUGUUUCUCCCCUUAAGAGCAAUUCCACCCAUGGUGCCAUGGUUAACGGCAAGUAAG